AUUGCAGAAUAGCAUAAAUGUACAGCACCAAUCCAAAAGUAUGAAAACUACUGACCUCUUUCCCAGUUCUCUCGUCACGGUGAUCAAGCGAUUUCCCAGGUCUCUCAUCACGGUGAUCAAGCACUUUCCCAGGUCUCUCAUCACGGUGAUCAAGCGCUUUCCCAGGUCUCUCAUCAUGGUGAUCAAGCGAUUUAUUGUUUUGGUCAUCACCCACUAUAUGAGAUGCUGGAACCUUGUCAUUCUUCUCAGAAACGACUUUCCAUGC
This 265-nucleotide long non-coding RNA is filed under the name Aquilegia coerulea. RNAcentral describes it as "long non-coding RNA (ACOE_LNC001388)". The record is from RNAcentral. Lineage: Eukaryota; Viridiplantae; Streptophyta; Magnoliopsida; Ranunculales; Ranunculaceae.